GGAAUGGUCUGGGCGCGAGCCCGCCUGGAGCCGCCGCCGGUGCAGAUCUUGGUGGUAGUAGCAAAUACUCCAGCGAGGCCCUGGAGGACUGAUGUGGAGAAGGGUUUCUUGUGAACAGCUGUUGCACAAGAGUCAGUCGAUCCUAAGCCCUAGGAGAAAUCCGAAGCGAUGGCCUGCCGUUAAAUUUCUGAUGGCCGGCGAGAGCGAGACGAGACGAGAAGAGGCGCGGGGAGGUACGUUACAACGCGUAUCUCUCACUCUCUCUCUCUCCGUCUCUCUCCUCUCGACCGGGUACCGUUUUAGAGAUGGCACCGUCUGGGCGAAAGGGAGUCCGGUUCCUAUUCCGGAACCCGGCCGCGGAACCGCUCCAAUUCGGGCCCUCAUCCGAGGACUCGUCGGGGUGACCCGAAAUGACCAGGAGAAGCCGUAGGGAGGUCCGGGGAGAGUUGUCUCUUCUCUAUAAGCGUUCGAGUUCCCUGGAAGCCUCUAGGAGGGAGAUAGGGUUUGGAACGCGAAGAGCACCGCACUUACGGCGGUGUCCGGAUCUUCCCCUAGGACCUUGAAAAUCCGGGCGAGGGCCACGAGGAACACCGCGCCGGCUCGUACCCAUAUCCGCAGCAGGUCUCCAAGGUGAAUAGCCUCUAGUCGAUAGAAUAAUGUAGGUAAGGGAAGUCGGCAAACCCGAUCUGUAACUUCGGGAUAAGGAUUGGCUCUGAGGAUCGUGGCGCGCCGGGCUUGGUCGGGAAGUGGAGCGGUGCCAACGUGCCGGGCCUGGGCGAGGUGAAGGGCGCUCGUCGUCUGGACCCUAGCUCGGUCCCGUGCCUUGGCCACCCACGGACCUUCCUUGCUGCGAGCC
This 856-nucleotide ribosomal RNA is filed under the name Notobitus nr. affinis CMF 0530. Its description in RNAcentral is "partial large subunit ribosomal RNA". It matches the Rfam family "Eukaryotic large subunit ribosomal RNA", at positions 1403 to 2093 of the family's 3401-position model. Lineage: Eukaryota; Metazoa; Arthropoda; Insecta; Hemiptera; Coreidae. The record is from RNAcentral.